CUGGAGACCGGGUGGUCAGAUGCUGCCCCAUGGGCUUCUGGGGGCACCAGAGAAAGGAGAGGGAGCAUGUGGGUCUCAUGAGUGGCAGGGCCAGGACCUUUCUGACCCCACUCCUCCUGCUGCUAGAGCCCAAGUUCGUCAAGGUCUUUUGGAUCCCAGAGAGCGAGAAUCCUGAUGAUGACAAGAUCUACUUCUUCUUCCGUGAGUCGGCAGUGGAGGCUUCGCCAUCACUGGGACGCCAGACUGUGUCCCGGGUUGGCCAGAUCUGUCGGGUGAGGAGUCCUUGGGCCACAUCCGAUGACUACAUCCCUGCCCUUUUGCCUGUCUGGGCCUCCCCCUCAUCCCUGCUGAUUGACCCUGCAGAAUGACGUGGGAGGCCAGCGAAGCCUUGUCAACAAGUGGACCACGUUCCUGAAGGCGCGUCUGGUGUGCUCAGUGCCAGGUGUCGAGGGUGACACACACUUCGACCACCUCCGUGAGUGCCAGGAGCAGAGGAUGGGGUUGGAGAGAGGGAGUGCAGGGGGCCAGACCCAGGAGCCGGGCUGCCCAGAGGGCUGUGUGCCCUCCCCCAACUAGGCUUCUUCCCCACAGAGGACAUGUUCCUGCUGUCCUUGAGGGACCGCUGGAGCCCACUGCUCUACGCUGUCUUCUCCACAUCAAGGUGAGGGGCAGAAGGUAGAGGGCAGGGCCCAAAGGGCUCUUCUGGGCCCCUCAGUCUGCUCAUGUCUUCGCCUGCAGCACCAUCUUCCAGGGCUCUGCAGUGUGUGUGUACAGCAUGAACGACGUGCGCCGGGCCUUCCUGGGGCCCUUUGCACACAAGGAAGGGCCCAUGCACCAGUGGGUGUCCUACCAGGGCCGUGUCCCCUACCCCCGGCCUGGCAUGGUGCGUAGCCCCAGGAGUCCCACCACAACCCACUUAAAGUCUCAGGGGUGGAAAACUUGGCCUGGGAUCUUCUUGGUGAAUGUGUUUUUUUCCUUCCGUUAUGGGUGGGAAAACAUCACCUUUGUCAGACAGGGCUCCUCAGAGGAAGGGCAUAUUUCCCCCUAAGAGUCCCAAGGGCAAGUCUGGGUCUUCUCUCUUCAGAUUCUCAGGGCAG
RNAcentral lists this long non-coding RNA (1097 nucleotides) under Lynx pardinus (Iberian lynx). Lineage: Eukaryota; Metazoa; Chordata; Mammalia; Carnivora; Felidae. The record is from RNAcentral.